GAGAGGCUAUGAAAGGAGGAAUAGGAAACAUUUUUGUUAGAAACAUUCAUGAGUAAUUUGGGACAAAAAAAAAGAAAUUGAGCAUUGAAACUUGUAAAAAGAGCAGAGAUGAAGGAGCAGUUUCAACAUGCAGAGAGCAUUCACCAUUUGCAGAAUGAGAUGAUUUCUAAGAGAUGCUGGUUUCUGCAUAUGUAUCAUCCUGCUUUUGAACUUGGCCUGUUGCUGAUCCCAGUCCAUAAAAGUCACAGCAAAAAGUUCAGAGGGGAAAAUUUGGCCUCACUUCUUCAGACAAUUUGUUAAGCCACA
Molecule: long non-coding RNA, 306 nt
Organism: Passer montanus (Eurasian tree sparrow)
Lineage: Eukaryota; Metazoa; Chordata; Aves; Passeriformes; Passeridae
Exons: 3
Source: RefSeq, a predicted model, not a curated record